RNAcentral lists this ribosomal RNA (349 nucleotides) under uncultured Thermoplasmata archaeon. RNAcentral's name for it is "bacterial SSU rRNA". It matches the Rfam family "Archaeal small subunit ribosomal RNA", at positions 993 to 1338 of the family's 1478-position model. Lineage: Archaea; Methanobacteriati; Thermoplasmatota; Thermoplasmata. The record is from RNAcentral.
CAUGGCCGCCGUCAGUUCGUACCGUGAGGCGUCCUGUUAAGUCAGGCAACGAACGAGACCCUUGCAUCUAGUUGCCAGCAGAUCCCUUCGGGAUGCUGGGUACCCUAGAUGGACCGCCACUGCUAAAGUGGAGGAAGGAGAGGGCGACCGGUAGGUCAGUAUGCCCCGAAUCUCCCGGGCUACACGCGGCCUACAAUGGACAGGACAAUGGGCUCCGAUCCCGAAAGGGAAAGGCAAUCCUUUAAACCUGUUCUUAGUUCGGAUUGAGGGCUGUAACUCGCCCUCAUGAAGUCGGAAUCGCUAGUAAUCGCGUAACAGCAUGACGCGGUCGAAUACGUUCCCGGGCCUU